GCAGCUGUGGCCUACUGGUUAGCGCUUUGGACUUGUAACUGGAGAGUUGCCGGUUCGAACCCGACCAGUAGGCA
RNAcentral lists this transfer RNA (74 nucleotides) under Alosa alosa (allis shad). RNAcentral describes it as "tRNA-OTHER". Lineage: Eukaryota; Metazoa; Chordata; Actinopteri; Clupeiformes; Clupeidae. The record is from RNAcentral.